UCCUGCCUUUUGGUGGUCUAUCCAUGC
This 27-nucleotide non-coding RNA is filed under the name Homo sapiens (human). Lineage: Eukaryota; Metazoa; Chordata; Mammalia; Primates; Hominidae. The record is from RNAcentral.